RNAcentral lists this long non-coding RNA (543 nucleotides) under Malus domestica (apple). RNAcentral's name for it is "long non-coding RNA (MDOM_LNC020537)". The record is from RNAcentral. Lineage: Eukaryota; Viridiplantae; Streptophyta; Magnoliopsida; Rosales; Rosaceae.
GACUUAUGCAACGAUAACUGGAAGUAAUCAACUUAUUUCACAUAAAUAAACAUGGUUUGGAAUACACCCUUAGCCAAAACGAAUUUAGCCAAUCAUACUCAAUGAAAAACAAAGAUUACAAGAAGUAGACAUUGAAAUAAAAGAUAGAAUACACCUAAAAUUGUUCAACAACUCAGAUUGAAGAGCCAAACAAUUUUCAUGAACUGUCUCCUUCUCUUCUCCUUGCGGCAGAUUGGGGGAGGAUGAUUUCUGGGGGGUUUGUGUGAUGUAGAAUGGAUUAUGGAUGGUGUAGGGGCACGGUAAGGCUUGGGGGUAGUGUAUGGGUGUUGUGUGGAAGAUGUGGAGAUGAAGAAUGGUGGUGGAAAUCGGCAGAGAUGGAGGAGGAAUGGUUUCUGAGGUUGUGGAUGGGUUUUGACGAAUUUUGGGAGAGUGUGUGGCUGAAUGGAGUUGUUUGUGGCUGCACAAAACCUGUUUAUUUAAAGGGAUUAGGAAAUUAAAAACCCUAGGCUAAUUAGGUAAUCAGGAAUUAAGUUUAAAGCUUCU